GUGCUCACUUCAGCAGCACAUACACUAAAAUUGGAACAAGAUAGAGAUUAGCAUGGCCCCUGUACAAGCAUGACAUGCAAAUGUGUGAAGCAUUCCAUAUAAAA
Canis lupus familiaris (dog) is the source of this 104-nucleotide non-coding RNA. The record is from Rfam. Lineage: Eukaryota; Metazoa; Chordata; Mammalia; Carnivora; Canidae.